GACGUAGGGCGCGAGCGUUGUCCGGAUUUAUUGGGCGUAAAGAGCUCGUAGGCGGCUUGUUGCGUCGACCGUGAAAACCCGUGGCUUAACUGCGGGCUUGCGGUCGAUACGGGCGGGCUGGAGUUCGGUAGGGGAGACUGGAAUUCCUGGUGUAGCGGUGGAAUGCGCAGAUAUCAGGAGGAACACCGGUGGCGAAGGCGGGUCUCUGGGCAGUAACUGACGCUGAGGAGCGAAAGCGUGGGGAGCGAACAGG
Molecule: ribosomal RNA, 253 nt
Filed under: uncultured bacterium
Lineage: Bacteria
Description: partial 16S ribosomal RNA
Rfam family: Bacterial small subunit ribosomal RNA
Source: RNAcentral